Molecule: non-coding RNA, 28 nt
Filed under: Homo sapiens (human)
Lineage: Eukaryota; Metazoa; Chordata; Mammalia; Primates; Hominidae
Source: RNAcentral
UGGUGCUGCUGGUUUGGUUGAGCUGCCA